Non-coding RNA from Misgurnus anguillicaudatus (oriental weatherfish), 478 nucleotides. Lineage: Eukaryota; Metazoa; Chordata; Actinopteri; Cypriniformes; Cobitidae. The record is from RefSeq and is a predicted model, not a curated record.
UAUUACAACACAGAGAGGCCAGCAUCACUUCACAAAAGUUUUUGUUAAAAACGUCAACGUUCAGAGGCAUCACUCAGUACCAGCCAUGCAGAGACUUUAUGAGGCUGUUGUAAGAGAUUAGCCUAUCCCCUGUAUGUCACUGAUGCACUACUUCAAAGAUGUGAGGACAAGAACAUACACCUGCGAGUAGUCUUAGACAUUGCCUGUGUUGUUGCCUCACAUUUGCAGAAAUCAGGGGAGGCCAUACCACACAACAUCUCCUUAGUCAUACCAGCAUUUCAUGAUUAUGGACACAAAUGGCCCUGCCAGAUCAAGUACAGUACCAGAUGGCUUGAUGGGUUUGGGCUCACAGACGGGGAAGGAAUGGAAAGGCUGUGGUCUUUCCUCCAAAGAUUUGCCAGAGUCACAAAGAAGAUGACUCCAUCUCAUCGCCUUGACCUACUGACUGAUGCCCAUUAUGGACGGAGGAAAUCAACUG